GAUGAAUGCUGGCGGCGUGCCUAAUACAUGCAAGUCGAGCGAACGGACGAGAAGCUUGCUUCUCUGAUGUUAGCGGCGGACGGGUGAGUAACACGUGGAUAACCUACCUAUAAGACUGGGAUAACUUCGGGAAACCGGAGCUAAUACCGGAUAAUAUUUUGAACCGCAUGGUUCAAAAGUGAAAGACGGUCUUGCUGUCACUUAUAGAUGGAUCCGCGCUGCAUUAGCUAGUUGGUAAGGUAACGGCUUACCAAGGCAACGAUGCAUAGCCGACCUGAGAGGGUGAUCGGCCACACUGGAACUGAGACACGGUCCAGACUCCUGCGGGAGGCAGCAGUAGGGAAUCUUCCGCAAUGGGCGAAAGCCUGACGGAGCAACGCCGCGUGAGUGAUGAAGGUCUUCGGAUCGUAAAACUCUGUUAUUAGGGAAGAACAUAUGUGUAAGUAACUGUGCACAUCUUGACGGUACCUAAUCAGAAAGCCACGGCUAACUACGUG
Molecule: ribosomal RNA, 497 nt
Filed under: uncultured bacterium
Lineage: Bacteria
Description: partial 16S ribosomal RNA
Rfam family: Bacterial small subunit ribosomal RNA
Source: RNAcentral